UCCUGGCUCAGGACGAACGCUAGCGGCGGGCUUAAUACAUGCAAGUUUAGGGGUUCAGCAAUGGACACCGGCGGACGGGUGCGUAACACGUAUGCAACCUGCCCUUUACUGGAGGAUACUCCGGAGAAAUUCGGCACAACACUCCAUAUGCUCAUACUUUCGCAUGGGAGGAAUGAGGAAAGGUUACGGUAAAGGAAUGGGCGAUGCGUCUGAUUAGCUAGUUGGCGAGGUAACGGCUCACCAAGGCGACGAUCAGUAGCUGGUCUGAGAGGAUGAUCAGCCACACUGGCACUGAGAUACGGGCCAGACUCCUACGGGAGGCAGCAGUAGGGAAUAUUGGUCAAUGGGCGAAAGCCUGAACCAGCCACGCCGCGUGCAGGAAGAAGGUCCUCUGGAUUGUAAACUGCUUUGUCCAAGGGAUAAAGAGAGGCUAUACGCCUAAAUGAAGGUACUUGGUGAAUAAGCCACGGCUAACUACGUGCCAGCAGCCGCGGUAAUACGUA
This 503-nucleotide ribosomal RNA is filed under the name uncultured bacterium. Its description in RNAcentral is "bacterial SSU rRNA". It matches the Rfam family "Bacterial small subunit ribosomal RNA", at positions 17 to 529 of the family's 1533-position model. The record is from RNAcentral.